RNAcentral lists this ribosomal RNA (497 nucleotides) under uncultured bacterium. RNAcentral describes it as "partial 16S ribosomal RNA". It matches the Rfam family "Bacterial small subunit ribosomal RNA", at positions 28 to 507 of the family's 1533-position model. The record is from RNAcentral.
GAUGAACGCUGGCGGCGUGCCUAAUACAUGCAAGUCGAGCGAACGGACGAGAAGCUUGCUUUUCUGAUGUUAGCGGCGGACGGGUGAGUAACACGUGGAUAACCUACCUAUAAGACUGGGAUAACUUCGGGAAACCGGAGCUAGUACCGGAUAAUAUUUUGAACCGCAUGGUUCAAAAGUGAAAGACGGUCUUGCUGUCACUUAUAGAUGGAUCCGCGCUGCACUAGCUAGUUGGUAAGGUAACGGCUUACCAAGGCAACGAUGCAUAGCCGACCUGAGAGGGUGAUCGGCCACACUGGAACUGAGACACGGUCCAGACUCCUACGGGAGGCAGCAGUAGGGAAUCUUCCGCAAUGGGCGAAAGCCUGACGGAGCAACGCCGCGUGAGUGAUGAAGGUCUUCGGAUCGUAAAACUCUGUUAUUAGGGAAGAACAUAUGUGUAAGUAACUGUGCACAUCUUGACGGUACCUAAUCAGAAAGCCACGGCUAACUACGUG